This 71-nucleotide transfer RNA is filed under the name Loxodonta africana (African savanna elephant). It matches the Rfam family "tRNA". Rfam says of the family: Transfer RNA (tRNA) molecules are approximately 80 nucleotides in length. Their secondary structure includes four short double-helical elements and three loops (D, anti-codon, and T loops). Lineage: Eukaryota; Metazoa; Chordata; Mammalia; Proboscidea; Elephantidae. The record is from Rfam by way of RNAcentral.
GCACUGGUGGUUCAGUGGUAGAAUUCUUGCCUCCCAUGUGGGAGACCCAGGUUUGAUUCCCUGCUGAUGCA